Molecule: ribosomal RNA, 94 nt
Filed under: Disperis sp. CPG 29216
Lineage: Eukaryota; Viridiplantae; Streptophyta; Magnoliopsida; Asparagales; Orchidaceae
Description: partial 18S ribosomal RNA
Rfam family: Eukaryotic small subunit ribosomal RNA
Source: RNAcentral
AACGACGCAGCGAGAAGUUCAUUGAACCUUAUCAUUUAGAGGAAGGAGAAGUCGUAACAAGGUUUCCGUAGGUGAACCUGCGGAAGGAUCAUUG